This 401-nucleotide ribosomal RNA is filed under the name Tapirus pinchaque (mountain tapir). Its description in RNAcentral is "partial 12S ribosomal RNA". It matches the Rfam family "Bacterial small subunit ribosomal RNA", at positions 794 to 1384 of the family's 1533-position model. The record is from RNAcentral. Lineage: Eukaryota; Metazoa; Chordata; Mammalia; Perissodactyla; Tapiridae.
GCUUAGCCAUAAACUAAAAUAAUUUAUCCAACAAAAUUAUUCGCCAGAGUACUACUAGCAACAGCUUAAAACUCAAAGGACUUGGCGGUGCUUUAUAUCCCUCUAGAGGAGCCUGUUCCAUAAUCGAUAAACCCCGAUAAACCUUACCAUCCCUUGCCAACACAGCCUAUAUACCGCCAUCUUCAGCAAACCCUAAAAAGGACUCAAAGUAAGCACAAAUAUAAGACAUAAAAAAGUUAGGUCAAGGUGUAGCCUAUGGGAUGGAGAGAAAUGGGCUACAUUUUCUACUCAAGAACAACACAACUCAUUACACGAAAGUUUUUAUGAAACUGAAAACUAAAGGAGGAUUUAGCAGUAAAUUAAGAAUAGAGAGCUUAAUUGAACUAGGCCAUGAAGCACGC